This 553-nucleotide ribosomal RNA is filed under the name uncultured Geobacteraceae bacterium. RNAcentral describes it as "bacterial SSU rRNA". It matches the Rfam family "Bacterial small subunit ribosomal RNA", at positions 9 to 536 of the family's 1533-position model. Lineage: Bacteria; Pseudomonadati; Thermodesulfobacteriota; Desulfuromonadia; Geobacterales; Geobacteraceae. The record is from RNAcentral.
GAGUUUGAUCCUGGCUCAGAAUGAACGCUGGCGGCGUGCUUAACACAUGCAAGUCGAACGAGAAAGUGGGCUUCGGUCCAUGAGUAGAGUGGCGCACGGGUGAGUAACACGUGGGUAAUCUACCCCUCAAUUUGGGAUAACAUUGCGAAAGUGAUGCUAAUACCGAAUAACAUCCAUAAAGCUUUGGUUUAAUGGAUCAAAGGUGGCCAAUCCUUGGAAGCUACUGUUGAGGGAUGAGCCCGCGUACCAUUAGCUAGUUGGUAGGGUAAUGGCCUWCCAAGGCGACGAUGGUUAGCUGGUCUGAGAGGAUGAUCAGCCACACUGGAACUGACACACGGUCCAGACUCCUACGGGAGGCAGCAGUGAGGAAUUUUGCGCAAUGGGGGCAACCCUGACGCAGCAACGCCGCGUGAGUGAUGAAGGCCUUUGGGUCGUAAAACUCUGUCAGAGGGGAAGAAAUGAAACGUGCUAAUAUCACGUUUUCUUGACGGUACCCUCGWAGGAAGCMCCGGCUAACUCCGUSCCAGCAGCCGCGGUWAUUUUUGCRCSCACU